UUACUACAACCUCCGUCCCAAAUUACUUGUCUUAGAUUUAUCUAGAUACGGAUGUAUCUAGACACUAAAACAUGUUAGAUACAUCCAUAUCUAGAGAAAUCUAAGACGAGUAAUUCGGGGUGGAGGGAGUAUAUC
Triticum aestivum (bread wheat) is the source of this 135-nucleotide non-coding RNA. NCBI's taxonomy places the organism in Eukaryota, Viridiplantae, Streptophyta, Magnoliopsida, Poales, Poaceae. The record is from Rfam.